Molecule: ribosomal RNA, 440 nt
Filed under: uncultured bacterium
Lineage: Bacteria
Description: partial 16S ribosomal RNA
Rfam family: Bacterial small subunit ribosomal RNA
Source: RNAcentral
CCUACGAGCGGCAGCAGUGGGGGAUAUUGCACAAUGGGGGGAACCCUGAUGCAGCGACGCCGCGUGGGUGAAGAAGCGCCUCGGCGCGUAAAGCCCUGUCAGCAGGGAAGAAAAUGACGGUACCUGAAGAAGAAGCCCCGGCUAACUACGUGCCAGCAGCCGCGGUAAUACGUAGGGGGCAAGCGUUAUCCGGAUUUACUGGGUGUAAAGGGGGCGCAGACGGCGAUGCAAGCCAGGAGUGAAGGCCCGGGGCCCAACCCCGGGACUGCUCUUGGAACUGCGUGGCUGGAGUGCAGGAGGGGCAGGCGGAAUUCCUGGUGUAGCGGUGAAAUGCGUAGAUAUCAGGAGGAACACCGGUGGCGAAGGCGGCCUACUGGACUGCAACUGACGUUGAGGCCCGAAAGCGUGGGGAGCAAACAGGAUUAGAUACCCUUGUAGUC